This 670-nucleotide long non-coding RNA is filed under the name Rattus norvegicus (Norway rat). RNAcentral describes it as "long non-coding RNA NONRATT007886". The record is from RNAcentral. Lineage: Eukaryota; Metazoa; Chordata; Mammalia; Rodentia; Muridae.
GAGAGAGUGGGUCCGAGGCAAUCCCUGGGGACGGAGGGGCGUCUUCCAAGCCUCCCGAGUCAGAGGCCCUACCCUACCUCCCAGGCCUCCACCUCCUGUUUCAGCCUCAGUUUCUCCUGCAAGACCUCCAGCAGUUGAGCCUCCACUGCGCGCAACUUGGCUCGACAGGAGUCCAGCUCCUCUUCCACCGCUCGCUUCCUGCAGGCAGCAGGGAUGGGGGGGGGGGGCGUGUUCUAGUGGCUCUCUUCUGGAGACAUCUGGAGUCCCCUUCCUCUCCUCUAGUAGGAGUGAGUCUCCCCACUUCCCCCACCCCCACCUGGAGGUUCUCUCACUUAGCAAUGGCUUCAUCCCUCUCCCGCAGUACUUGCUCCAGGGAAGGCUCCGCCCAGGUGUCCCCCAGUGCUCCUGCCGCUUAGGAUUCUGGGUUCUGUUGGAAGGUGAUGGAUGACCUGGGGUUCGAGAAGCCUCACCGUGGGUUCUUCUGCCCUGCCCCUGGUCUGCCUCAUGCUAUUUCCACUCAGCCUUACCACCCUUCGCCUCCAGGGGGUGCUGCGCCCGCAUCUUAUAAAGCCUCAGGAUCCCUAGUCUGGCUAUCUGGGGAGUAGACCAGGGGACCUUGGGUCUUAUUCAGGAACGGUCUGGUUCAGCAGAAUGGACAAUGUUGUAAGCU